RNAcentral lists this long non-coding RNA (4482 nucleotides) under Homo sapiens (human). Its description in RNAcentral is "long non-coding RNA NONHSAT162171.1". Lineage: Eukaryota; Metazoa; Chordata; Mammalia; Primates; Hominidae. The record is from RNAcentral.
GGGACCGCGGACUGGAUUUCGACUUCCAAAUUCCCACGAGGUAUAGGAGUCUGAGGGUUGCACAGGACCUUAUGCAUUGUUUGACUCCUCCAGAGCCUUUAGAGAAACUUCUAUCAGGCCCGCCUGCUAGGCACUAGUCGGGGAGAUAAUGUAGCCAGGGAGAUGUGGCGGACAGAAAGGGCAGAGAGGCUCUCUGAGGAGCGGAUGGAGGAUCGUGGGCCGCUUUACUGAGAAGGAAGAGACCCUGCGAGAAGGAGUAGUGUCGACUUGGUCCCGUCAGCCGGACCCCACCUGGACGGCUGGGGCCACUUGUGGUCGCCGGGAGGUCCCUCCAUCGACUGGUGGGUGUGAAGAUCCUCCUCUCCACAUCCUCCCCUAGCUGCUCUGGCUCUCUCCGUGGGCUCUCCUGCUCCUUUUCUAGCUGGACCCAUCUCCGCUGUUGCUCCCUGGCCAGGUCUUCCAGAUUCCACUGCCGCAGCUUCUCCUGAUGCUCCUGCUCCAGCAGGGCCCACUUCUUCUGCCGCUGCUGCCACAUCUCCUCCUCCUCCAGCCACAGCUGCCUCCGCAUCUCCCGGCCGAAUUCCUCCUCCCAGGGCUCCUCUUGGCUCUCAGAGGUCACCUGCCUGGAGCUCUCUAGAGACAGCUGCUUGCUACAGUGGAACUUAAUUUGGAGUCCUCCCUUCUGGAAGUAGUCCUCCUGGUCUUUGUCUUUGUGGCCUAAGCUUUCUGCCACCGGUCUUUCCCAUUUCUUAGGAAACCUGCGAUCUACUAAGGGUAAAAGCACAGGCUCAAGGCUCUCAGUGUCCUUGCUGCCGAACACAUCUGCGACCCUCGAGCGCACAGUCAUGGUGGAAAGUGGCUGGUGCCCUGCAGCUAUAGCACCACUGUCCCGUAUCAUGGCCAUGGGACUUGGGGGAAGUGGCGAGAACAACUGCUCCUCCUUCAUCGGUUCCUGUUGGCUUUCCUCCAUGACUGUUUCUUUCCUUGGGAGGGUCUCUCUCUCAGAGGGACCUGGGGAGUCAACAGAAACCUCAGCCAGGUCUUCUGCCUGACCUGUAGCAUUCUGAGCCUUCUUCAGCUGGAACUCCAAGGCCUGCUUCAUCAGGAGAAGGUCAUGGUACCUUCCCCCUAAGAUCUCUACCUGCUUCAGCAGAGCAUCCCUCCUGCUCUCAAGGACCUCCAUGAACUGCUGGAAGUGCAGCCUCUGGCUGCUGAGCUCUUUGGUCGCCUGCAUUUGCAGGUGCCUGUAUUUGGUCUCCAGGCUCCUGUUCUCCUUGUGUUGGAGGAUCAAGGCCUUGUUGAGGUUCUCCACCACAGUGGCCAUGUACCUGAUGGCCCUGACCUCCCCCUUGCUGAACAUGGUAGAGUCCAGGAGCUCCUGCAGCAUGGACGUCACCUCCGAGGCCUUCGUGUUCAUGGAGCAUGGAGGUGAUGUGCUGUGACACGAGUGGUGGAAUGCUUCACUGGAGAAGGGGAUGUGUCCUGUGCUGUCCCUGUGCUCGCCACCCACACUCCCCUCCCAGAGGAGGCACGGUGCCCAGCCUGCAAACUCACCCCAGUCACCCAGCCAGCGGAGAAUGUCAUACAGGUGCUUCUCCUUCAUCAUAGCAUCUUUGGAGAAGGAGGCAAUUUUUUCCAGCAAGAUGAAUCUCUUCUUGCCCUUUGGAUCUCUCUGCUGAGAUUUGGCAUUUUCUUUUAAAUCAUAUCCUAAUUCUUCCUGGAAGCGGUUGAUGACACAAUUGACAUUGUCCAAAAUGUCUGAGAGCUGGGUAGAAAUAUCCUAUAGAGAAGCAGCAGAUUGUAGUGUUAGGGCUGUGGACUUGAGCCAGAAGCCACAUGCUAGCAGCGUGACCUUGGACAAGUCGCUUAGCCUCUUUGGGUCUCAGUUUUCUUAUAUUUAAAGUGGGAAUCAUUAUAGUACCUAUGUCACAGGGUUUCUGUAAGGAUUAAAUGAAUUAAAUAUUUUAAAGUGCUUUUAAUAGUACCUGGCACAUUACACAAAAGUGGUAGCUUUUAUUAUCAUUGUGAUUAUUAAGAAGGUCAAGAAAGUAUAGAACACCAAAACCCCACAGCAAACAUUUCUUUAGAAUUUCAGAGGUUGCUGGGGGUUUCUGGAUGUCUUUCCUCACAAGGAUCCACAGGCAACAGAAGCUUGGAAAAGUGAGGCCCCAAGAAACUCUAGGAUCAGAGGCUCAAGUAAAAAAUGUACUAGAGCCUCGUGUACAGGGUGAUUUGAGCCUUUGGACAUUUCCCCAACCCCUAUGAACUUCCUGGGCUCAGCUUGGGGGAUUCUGGAGGGUUGCCAAGAACAGAUUCUGGGUCCUUUCUCCUGCCCUCUAAAACCCACCACACCACCACGAUGUGCCUCAGGGCUAUCCUCGAGCUUCCUGCCCCCUUCCCGGGCCCCAGCCCUGCCUCAGGCGGGUGGUUGCUUUCAGCUCACCCUGUAUAUGCCAAGUUUAGGAGAGAGAUAAUUUAUACUAAUCUGUCUGCAGACCCAGGUUGCUGAAUAUCCCAGGGCCUCUGAGGACCCAGAGCUGGAAUCUCACUCAAACCUGGGAUCAGCCCCCAGUCUCCGCAUCAGAUCCCAAUGUAAGAGUGAUUCCUUCAUCUCAGGGGCUACCUCUUGAGCCCGAGUUAGCUGGGCAGCCUCAAUCCUCAGGAUGAUGGCUUUCACUGAUGUGGGAGUCACCAACUGUGGGGGGUCAUCCUUCUCCAUUUUGGAUCACUCUGUCAGUCACAAAACAUCCUGUGUUUCUGGUCCACAGGCCUGGACACACAAUGUUGCCUGCUUUGGAGGUUAAGGGCACCAGGGUGUCUCCUGGGUACCCUCUGCCCAGGCACAGCUCCUCUGGUAACUGCCAAACACCAGGUUCCAACUGAUCCUCUUUUCCCCAGUGACAUCAUCAGUUUGAUUAGAAGAAUUAGGAGAUGAGACUCCCCACUAUCUAGCUUUUUGUCCAUUACCUAACAUAUAUUUACUUGACUUGUUGCCUUUUCUUUUUUUUUUUUUUUUUUUGAGACGGAGUCUCCCUCUGUAGCCCAGGCUGGAGUGCAGUGGUGUGAUCUCGGUCACUGCAACCUCCACUUCCUGGGUUCAAGUGAUUCUCCUGGCUCAGCCUCCUGAGUAGCUGGGAUUACAGGUGCGUGCCACCACGCCUGGCUAAUUUAUUUUUUGUAUUUUUAGUAAAGACGGGGUUUCACUGUGUUAGCGAGGAUGGUCUCGAUCUCCUGACCUCGUGAUCCACCCACCUUAGCCUCCCAAAGUGCUGGGAUUACAGGUGUGAGCCACCGUGCCCGGCCUACUUGUUGCUUUUUAAAAAUUACUAAAUGUUAUGCUCCCAAACAAAACAUUAAUGUCUACAAAUAAGAAAAAGCAAUUAGCAAAAGUUAUUUUCCUGAAUAAAAUAUUUUAAAUUUGUAAAAAUUAGAGCCAAUCAAUAACCAAAUGGAAGCCAGGCUCAGUGGCUCACGCCUGUAAUCCCAACAAUUUGGGAGGCUGAGGUGGGAGGAUCACUUGAGCCCAGGAGUUUGAGACCAGCCUGGGCAACAUGGUGAGAGCCUAGCUCUACAAAAAAAUUUAAAAAAUAGCCAGGCAUGGUGGCGCAUGCCUGGGAUCCCAACUACUUGAGAGGUUGAGAUGGGAGGAUCACUUGAGCCCAGGAGGUCAAGGCUGCAGUGAGCCAUGUUCACGCCACUACACCCCAGCCUAGGUGAUAGAUACCCUGACACACACACACACACACACACACACACACACACACACACAAACAUACAGAGGGAGGAACAUCCCAUAAUGCUAAAGAUGUCAAUUAAUAAGGAGAACAUAAUUCUAAAUGUGUAUAUACCUAAUAACAUUGCUUCAAAAUACAUGAAGUAAAAAGCUUCCAGAACUGAAAGGAGGAAUAGGUAAAUCCAAAAUUAUAGUUGGAGAUUCCAGCACUUCUCUUGCAGGAGUUGAUAGAAGUAGCAAAAAAUAAAAAGUAUAGAGGUUUUGAAAAAUACUAUCAACCAACUUGACUCCAUUGACAGUCAUAGAACACUUCACCCAACAACAGGACACAUAUUAUUCCCUACGCAUAUGGAACAAUGAUCAUAUAAACCAUAAUUUGGGCCAUAAAACAAGUAUCAAUUACCCUAAGAAGUCUAAAAUAAUACAAAAUAUGUUCUCUGACCACUAUGGUAUUAAACUAUAAAUCAAUAAUUGAGAGAUCUUUGGAAAAUUCCCAAAUAUUUUACAAAUUAAGCAACAUACUUCCAUAUAACCCUGAGUCAAAAAAGAAAUCACAGGGAAAGUUAUGAAAUACUUUGAACCGAGCAAAAAUAGAAACAUAUCACAAUUUUGAGGAUGCUGCCAAAUCAGUGCUUAGAGGAAAAAACUAGAAAAGGAAGAACAAAAAAACCCAAAAUAAGCAGAAGGAAGGAAAUAAUAAGAAUAAGAAUAGAGACCAAUAGAAAACAAACAAAAAUAGAAGAAAAUCA